GCUCUGACUUUAUUGCACUAC
RNAcentral lists this non-coding RNA (21 nucleotides) under Xenopus tropicalis (tropical clawed frog). The record is from RNAcentral. RNAcentral also lists the same sequence under 4 other names. Lineage: Eukaryota; Metazoa; Chordata; Amphibia; Anura; Pipidae.